AGACCCCACUAAGUGCAGGUCCAUGGAGGGGCCUCAGAUUCCAGACCAUCCCAGGUGAGGCUCAUGCUGCUGGUCCAAGGAUCACACCUGGAGUAGCAAGGAUGUAGAUGUUUCCAGAAGGAUCCGGAAGGAUCCAGUUGAGACAGAGAAGGAGGCUCAUUUGUCUUGAAGAGCUCUUCAUUUACCUGCCCUGCCACGAAGGCCACAGGCAGCACAGUUGGAAACAACCUUGCCUGCUUGUUCCUAUGUCUGCUUUAAGAGCACAGCUUGAGGAUUCUGGAGCCGCUGUGCCUGUGCCUCUCCAUUCCUGCACCGACACACACGCAUCCUGGGCCACAUUCCCAGAUGUGGGUCCCACUCCAAACAGGAGUCCCGGAGGCCAAGGAUGACGAGGUCUGAGUCCUCGGCACCAGUCACAGGCUGACUGACCCUCCCAGUGUGCGGUGAGGGGAAGAAUGAAUGAAGAACCAGCGAUUAUUGGCCGAGAGCACACAGUAGGCGCUCAGUCAAGGUAAGCUAAAGGGCUGAAUGACCGCUAGUGACUCCCCAGGCACUCUGUGGACACCCCCCGCCAGGAACUCGCAGAUUGGAGGGUCCCACCGGGCAGAGCCCCUGUGGGCCGGGCACGCAGGCUCCCGGCUCGGCCCCCAGGGGGCGCGUCCCCCCCCACUCCCCGUUGCGUGUGUGGCGUCUUCGUGGCGGCCGUGAACGUGGACAGGCGGCUCCACUUGGAGCUAGGGAACCGGAAGCCCAGAGAAGGGAGCGCGGGCCAGGGCAGCCACCAGGGUCCCCUGAUGGCCAUCUGCCCCACAGCUGGUGCUGAGUGACAGGUGCUUCAGCGGGGGCCUGGAGGUGCUGGUGGAGCAGACACCUGGCCUGAGCCACCGGAGCCUCAGCUGCACCUCAUCAAGGACGUCGCAGCCCUGAAGCCCCUGACACUGAGCAUGAAACAGUGACAGAGGACAACUCUGAUGAGGACUCAGAAGAUGGGAAGGAGGCCGUAAGGAGCGGAACAGGAUGGGGUGGGGCUCGGGACCUGGUCCUUGGGUUCCUGCUCGCAGCAAGAGGAAGAAGAGGAGAAUGAGGAGGGAC
This is a long non-coding RNA of Diceros bicornis minor, 1092 nucleotides long. RefSeq lists it as uncharacterized. NCBI's taxonomy places the organism in Eukaryota, Metazoa, Chordata, Mammalia, Perissodactyla, Rhinocerotidae. The record is from RefSeq and is a predicted model, not a curated record. The transcript is spliced from 3 exons.